Molecule: ribosomal RNA, 334 nt
Filed under: uncultured bacterium
Lineage: Bacteria
Description: bacterial SSU rRNA
Rfam family: Bacterial small subunit ribosomal RNA
Source: RNAcentral
CGCGUAGGCGGCGGACACAGUCAGACGUGAAAUUCCUGGGCUCAACCGUGGGGGCUGCGUUUGAUACAUGUCUGCUUGAGUUCGGAAGAGGGUCGUGGAAUUCCCAGUGUAGAGGUGAAAUUCGUAGAUAUUGGGAAGAACACCGGUGGCGAAGGCGGCGACCUGGUCCGAUACUGACGCUGAGGCGCGAAAGCGGUGGGGAGCAAACAGGAUUAGAUACCCUGGUAGUCCACGCUGUAAACGAUGUGCGCUGGAUGGUUGGGGGCCUAGCCCUUCAGUGUCGUAGCUAACGCGAUAAGCGCACCGCCGUGGGGAGUACGGCCGCAAGGUUGAA